UACGGAGGAUGCAAGCGUUAUCCGGAAUCAUUGGGCGUAAAGGGUCCUUAGGUGGUUUGCUAAGUCUACUGUGAAAGAUCAGGGCUCAACCCUGAAAAUGCGGUGGAAACUGGCAGGCUAGAAUACGGUAGGGGCAGGGGGAACUCCCGGUGUAGCGGUGAAAUGCGCAGAUAUCAGGAGGAACACCGAUGGCGAAGGCAGGUCUCUGGGCAUUAACUGACGCUGAGGAGCGAAAGCAUGGGGAGCGAACAGG
This 253-nucleotide ribosomal RNA is filed under the name uncultured bacterium. RNAcentral describes it as "partial 16S ribosomal RNA". It matches the Rfam family "Bacterial small subunit ribosomal RNA", at positions 524 to 776 of the family's 1533-position model. The record is from RNAcentral.